UACGUAGGGUGCAAGCGUUGUCCGGAAUUAUUGGGCGUAAAGAGCUCGUAGGCGGUUUGUCGCGUCGAAUGUGAAAACCCGGGGCUCAACCCCGGGCCUGCAUUCGAUACGGGCAGACUAGAGUUCGGUAGGGGAGUCUGGAAUUCCUGGUGUAGCGGUGAAAUGCGCAGAUAUCAGGAGGAACACCGGUGGCGAAGGCGGGUCUCUGGGCCGUAACUGACGCUGAGGAGCGAAAGUGUGGGGAGCGAACAGG
This 253-nucleotide ribosomal RNA is filed under the name uncultured bacterium. Its description in RNAcentral is "partial 16S ribosomal RNA". It matches the Rfam family "Bacterial small subunit ribosomal RNA", at positions 524 to 776 of the family's 1533-position model. The record is from RNAcentral.